CCUACGGGAGGCAGCAGUAGGGAAUAUUGGGCAAUGGGCGAAAGCCUGACCCAGCCACGCCGCGUGCAGGAAGACGGCCCUCUGGGUUGUAAACUGCUUUUAACUGGGAAGAAAGAAGCCCAUGCGUGGGAAGUUGACGGUACCAGUUGAAUAAGCCACGGCUAACUACGUGCCAGCAGCCGCGGUAAUACGUAGGUGGCAAGCGUUAUCCGGAUUUAUUGGGUUUAAAGGGUGCGUAGGCGGUUCAAUAAGUCAGUGGUUAAAGGUAGCAGCUUAACUGUUUUACAUGCCACUGAUACUGCUGAACUUGAGUUGACAGAAGGCAGAUAGAAUUUCUGGUGUAGCGGUGAAAUGCUUAGAUACCAGAAGGAAUACCGAUUGCGAAGGCAGUCUGCUGCAGUCACACUGACGCUGAGGCACGAAAAGUGCGGGGGAGUACAAACAAGGAUUAGUAUACCUCGGUAGGUCCGCCACAAGUAAACGAAUAGAUUAACUAGUAUGUUGGUUGGCGAGCCAGUGUCCGAACGGGAAAACCGGAAAGUAAAGUAAAUACCACCUAGGGGAGGUACGGCCGGCCGAACGGUAGGAAAACGUUAAAAUUAAGAAGUUAGUACGGCGUGAGACGUGCCGAACGGACGACACGAGGGAGGAGG
RNAcentral lists this ribosomal RNA (653 nucleotides) under uncultured bacterium. Its description in RNAcentral is "bacterial SSU rRNA". The stretch from base 1 to 557 matches the Rfam family "Bacterial small subunit ribosomal RNA", at positions 338 to 873 of the family's 1533-position model. The record is from RNAcentral.